CCUACGGGUGGCAGCAGUGAGGAAUAUUGGUCAAUGGGCGCGAGCCUGAACCAGCCAAGUCGCGUGAGGGAUGACGGUCCUACGGAUUGUAAACCUCUUUUGCCGGGGAGCAAGCGUCCGUACGUGAACGCGCUUCGAGGGUACCCGGAGAAAAAGCAUCGGCUAACUCAUGGCCAGCAGCCGCGGUAAUACGGAGGAUGCGAGCGUUAUCCGGAUUAAUUGGGUUUAAAGGGUGCGUAGGCGGGAUGCCAAGUCAGCGGUAAAAACGCGGUGCUCAACGCCGUCGAGGCGUUGAAACUGGUGUUCUUGAGUGGGAGAGACGUAUGCCGAAUGCGAGGUGUAGCGGUGAAAUGCAUAGAUAUC
RNAcentral lists this ribosomal RNA (363 nucleotides) under uncultured bacterium. RNAcentral describes it as "partial 16S ribosomal RNA". It matches the Rfam family "Bacterial small subunit ribosomal RNA", at positions 338 to 698 of the family's 1533-position model. The record is from RNAcentral.